UUUGGAGGCUAACGACACGCAAGUGAUAAAGCAAAUGAGCGUUUUAAUGAUGACAAAUAGAGGAGGACAUGCAGCGUUGAUGGGGGAACAUGGCUUCCAGCAAGGAGGAAGAUUUACGGGAGCUAAUUACGGUACAUCAGAUUUAUGGUGGAAAAGCAGAAAGAGGAAAAACUUGGGGAAGAACUUGUGUGUGUCACCCGGGAACAACCGUUUCCCUUCAGACAAAUGAUGUAACAGCAGCUCAACGCACGCUCCCAGGUGGCCUUUUUAUGCCUUUGGCACUGACGUGUGUGCAAAGCCUGAGGCGUGCGUGAGUCUGUGGAAGUUAAAUAGACCCAAAUUAGUUACAGGGAAAACACAGAUUUGUAGCCGCCAUGAAAGAAUGCCAACAAUUAGCGCUUAGAUUGGUGUUCAAUAUACUUGGUGUUCAACAUACACGUGCGUUUUUAAUUAAUCGUGUGGGGCAAACCCAGCAGGGUGCUGCCCUCCCACCUCAAAGAGAUCUCAGCGGGGGCUUCGCAUUUAUCAGCGGCAAUCAGAACUCGGCGCAGCAGCCUGGAAAUUUGUUAACAGAAGCCACGAGGACAAACGUGAGAAAACCGGCACUUCAGCCCUCAGGUCCGACAGGUGCCAAAGAGAACUCACGUGGCUUAAAGACCCCUUUAGGCCGGAGCAGCCGGCGCUGUACGAGAAGUUUGAGAAGCGAGGGGGAAACCCGCAGCCCGUCCGCACACAAACGCCCACGAGCGAACCUCCCCACAGCGCCCGCAGCUCCCUUCGCCCCAAGACGCGCCCCGAAAUGGCGGCGCUGCGGCCGGGAUAAGGGGGUCCGCUUGGAGCCGCCCCUCCGCCCGGGCCUCCCCGCACAGUCACGGAAGGCGCCGGGCCGGGCGGAGCCGCCUUAGCUCACCUGGGCCCCGCGCGAACGGCGACGCCGCAGCCCUCCGGCGGCGGCAGGACAGCGGUGCCCGCGGCCGGCAGCGCCCGGGAGGCGACGGAGAGCGACCCGGGCGGCAGCGGCCCAUUCGCGGAGCCAAGCUGCGGACACCUGCGGGCCGCCCGCCCCGCUCCUCCCCGCCGGGCCCGGCCACGCCCGGGGCUGAGGGUGAGGCGCGGGCGGCAGCGCCGCAGGGGGAGGCGGCAUUGGGCGCGGCGCUGAGGUGAAGGGCGGCGGCGGGGCAGGCCGGGGCUGGAGGACGGCUUCUGGGCCGAGUCCGAACUGGUCGGAAGAACGGACAGAAGUGGCACCUGUGGGGGUAGUUUCCCGCCUCGGACUGAAUCUGUUUCAGUAUUUUCUCUCUGGCUUCAGUUUCAGCACGAGCACCUUUUUGUCCCUCUGGCGUAAGUCUGGGGACUGUGGUUUUGCGUAGAAAACACGAGGAUUGCCUGCAAGCAGAGAACAAGUAGCAUGCUGCAUUGCUUUGCUGUUCGAGGUGAAAGUGUUGGAAUGAGCAUGCUUUGCUUUUGUAUGACACUGGUAAGGGAAGCUGAAGUGAACAUGGAAAGCUGGCAUAGGCUCCGUGUCAAUGAGACAUGGAAUCAUUCAGGUUGGAAAAGAGCCCUCAGGCCAUCGAGUUCAACCUCCAGCUACCCCCACUGUGCCCCCUGACCACAUCCCUCAGUGCCACAUCCACACGGUUCUGGAACACCUCCAGGGACCGUGACUGCACCACCUCCCUGGGCAGCCUGUGCCACUGCAUCACUGCUCUUUCUGAGGAGAAAAAUUUUCCUAAUAUCCAACCUGAUAUCAUUUCAGAAUUACUUCUAGAGCAGCCACCGCAGGCCUAGAGAGAAAUUCAAUUAUCCAUUUUACUUCUGUUGAGUUGUACUACUUUUAAAACUUGCAAGCCAUCCUGUCAACAGUAAUUUUCAAAAAGACUGUGUGCAGGAAGGCAUAUCUGUCUAAAACAAACUUGCAAGGCUGUACUGCAGCUCUGACAACAACGGUUUUUGCUUUGUGUGCUCUAUAAUUGCUUGGGUGUAGGCUCCGUUCAAGAUAAAAAUGUUUGCCCUUCCCCAUCAGGAAAUAAAAUAAAAUAAAAAUACAUGUGGGAGAGCCUAGAGAAAAGUUAAAUUACAAUUUACUAGAGAGUCAGGUGAAAACUGUUGGAUGGAGACAUCCUUUCAGGCUAUGUCGUAUACAUCAUACUUUAAUUGUAAUAAACUUUGUUUCCUCAGAGUUUAUGAAUAUAACAGCUGACCCUUGUCAUGAAAAGAGAAUGUAUGUUUCAGCACAGUCAAACCAAGUCCAUCUCAUCAAGCUGUUUUUCUUCUUUGUGGAAAGCAUCCAAUGCAUAAAAUCAACUGUGAAAUAUUUUUCCACGUGUUUAGCCAUCUCCUUAAUACUGGUGACUGCUGAAACAUCUUCUGUGGCUGAGUAAGAAUCCCCCGAAUGAAGAAUCAGGACCUGCAAACCAAAACCGGGCCACCUAUACUGAAGAAGAUGGAUGUGCCAUGCAACACAAAAGUACAUGAGCUGGGAGGGGAAGGAAAGGAAGCUAUCCAUACCAAUUUCUUCCCAUUGAACAA
Phasianus colchicus (ring-necked pheasant) is the source of this 2529-nucleotide long non-coding RNA. RefSeq lists it as uncharacterized. NCBI's taxonomy places the organism in Eukaryota, Metazoa, Chordata, Aves, Galliformes, Phasianidae. The record is from RefSeq and is a predicted model, not a curated record.